This 1459-nucleotide ribosomal RNA is filed under the name uncultured organism. Its description in RNAcentral is "SSU rRNA". It matches the Rfam family "Bacterial small subunit ribosomal RNA". The record is from RNAcentral.
GGCGGCGUGCCUAACACAUGCAAGUCGAGCGAAGCACUUUGCUUAGAUUCUUCGGAUGAAGAGGAUUGUGACUGAGCGGCGGACGGGUGAGUAACGCGUGGGUAACCUGCCUCAUACAGGGGGAUAACAGUUACAAAUGACUGCUAAUACCGCAUAAGACCACAGCACCGCAUGGUGCGGGGGUAAAAACUCCGGUGGUAUGAGAUGGACCCGCGUCUGAUUAGCUACGCUGGUAAGGUAACGGCUUACCAAGGCGACGAUCAGUAGCCGACCUGAGAGGGUGACCGGCCACAUUGGGACUGAGACACGGCCCAAACUCCUACGGGAGGCAGCAGUGGGGAAUAUUGCACAAUGGGGGAAACCCUGAUGCAGCGACGCCGCGUGAGCGAACAAGUCUUUCGGUAUGUAAAGCUCUAUCAGCAGGGAAGAAAAUGACGGUACCUGACUAAGAAGCACCGGCUAAAUACGUGCCAGCAGCCGCGGUAAUACGUAUGGUGCAAGCGUUAUCUCGGAUUUACUGGGUGUAAAGGGAGCGUAGACCGAUGGGCACGUCUGAUGUGAAAACCCGGGGCUCAACCCCGGGACUGCAUUGGAAACUGUUCAUCUAGAGUGCUGGAGAGGUAAGUGGAAUUCCUAGUGUAGCCGUGAAAUGCGUAGAUAUUAGGAGGACCACCACUGGCGAAGGCGGCUUACUGGACAGUCACUGACGUGGAGGCUGGAAAAGCGGGGGGGAGCAAACAGGAUUAGAUACCCUGGUAGUCCACGCCGUAAUCGAUGACUACUAGGUGUCGGGGUGGCAAAGCCAUUCGGUGCCGCAGCAAACGCAAUAAGUAGUCCACCUGGGGAGUACGUUCGCAAGAAUGAGACUCAAAGGAAUUGACGGGGACCCGCACAAGCGGUGGAGCAUGUGGUUUAAUUCGAAGCAACGCGAAGAACCUUACCUGCUCUUGACAUCCCGCUGACCGGACGGUAAUGCGUCCUUCCCUUCGGGGCAGCGGAGACAGGUGGUGCAUGGUUGUCGUCAGCUCGUGUCGUGAGAUGUUGGGUUAAGUCCCGCAACGAGCGCAACCCCUAUCUUUAGUAGCCAGCGGCCAGGCCGGGCACUCUAGAGAGACUGCCGGGGAUAACCCGGAGGAAGGUGGGGAUGACGUCAAAUCAUCAUGCCCCUUAUGAGCAGGGCUACACACGUGCUACAAUGGCGUAAACAAAGGGAAGCGAGACCGCGAGGUGGAGCAAAUCCCAAAAAUAACGUCUCAGUUCGGAUUGUAGUCUGCAACUCGACUACAUGAAGCUGGAAUCGCUAGUAAUCGCGAAUCAGAAUGUCGCGGUGAAUACGUUCCCGGGUCUUGUACACACCGCCCGUCACACCAUGGGAGUCAGUAACGCCCGAAGUCAGUGACCCAACCGUAAGGAGGGAGCUGCCGAAGGCGGGACCGAUAAAUGGGGUGAAGUCAUAACA